AGAACACUGGAACGCCUUGGUGAGCGUCGUCGCCAUUAUCACAACACCAGACGGAUGGAGCAUUUGGGUGAUAGGUUAAACAUUUUAGUUGAGACAAAUCAGAAGAUUUUUAAGUAUAAUAUAUUGUGGAGGGAACCACAUUCAAGUGCCCUCCAGUGGCAAUAUCUCAUGUGCUAGGUGCUCCUGAUUGAUGGAAAGCAGUCCUGUGUUGUGCGCCUGUGCACCACCCACGCGCAUGCCAGGAGGCGGUGGAGGAGAGAAACGAGAACCACACCUGACCGAAGAGACACCCGUUGGUGACGCCUUCUGAACUUUGGUUAUUCGGCAAUCAUAUUGGCCAGCUAUCAUUGGACCUCGCCCCCAUCACAUUGUUUCAGCCCGCCCCUAGAAGACUUCAGCUUGAGACCCCAACGCCGGCAGCACGAUGACCACCAAGAAAUCCUCAGACUUUUCAUAUUAAUGGUCUGAGCAUGAGCAGACGGAGCCUGAAGUUCAUUUAGCAACUGCAGGGAUGACUUCCUCUUCCUCAGACUUUUCAUAUUAUGGGUCUAAACGCCAGCCGAGGGAGCCAGAAGUUCCGUCAGAAGCCCGAGGGAUGGCCAUUUCAUUUGAGAUUCGAGUUUUUGGAUAAUGAGUUCAAAUUAAGUCUAAUGGGACCUCCAGGGGAGGUAGCACCAGUGAUCGCGAAGAUCAUGGACAUGGGAGCCCCUACAGAUUCUGAUUUUAGCUGGAAAACAAGCUACCCAGUGAGCCUAUAUGCUGGGGAGGGUCCGAGGGCCUCCACAAGCUCAUUUAGGGUAUCCCCACUUUGGGAAGUGGCUUUCUUUGACAGCCAUUUGAGGGUCAAUGACACCCUACGUUCAGUUUCGAUCAAUAUGUUUGCCUUCGUUUCAAUUUGGCUGUAGUGUCCUUCGUUACCCUUUGGAAUUUGGUUUGUUCAGAGAGUAUGAGGUUCAUACUUUCUAGUAAUGAACCUCAUACUCUCUGACCAAACUAAAUUCCAAAGGGUAACAAAGGACAC
Molecule: non-coding RNA, 1021 nt
Organism: Procambarus clarkii (red swamp crayfish)
Lineage: Eukaryota; Metazoa; Arthropoda; Malacostraca; Decapoda; Cambaridae
Source: RefSeq, a predicted model, not a curated record